GGUGAACCAGCGGAGGGAUCAUU
This 23-nucleotide ribosomal RNA is filed under the name Trichoderma harzianum. RNAcentral's name for it is "partial 18S ribosomal RNA". RNAcentral also lists the same sequence under 13 other names. Lineage: Eukaryota; Fungi; Ascomycota; Sordariomycetes; Hypocreales; Hypocreaceae. The record is from RNAcentral.